UACGUAGGGGGCAAGCGUUGUCCGGAUUUAUUGGGCGUAAAAGGCUUGUAGGUGGCCACGCCAAGUCGGAUGUGAAAUCUCCCGGCUCAACUGGGAGGGGUCAUUCGAUACUGGCGGGCUCGAGGCCGGUAGGGGGAAGUGGAAUUCCCGGUGUAGUGGUGGAAUGCGUAGAUAUCGGGAGGAACACCGGUGGCGAAGGCGGCAUCCUGGACCGAGAUUGGCGCUGAGGCGCGAAAGCCAGGGGAGCAAACGGG
This 254-nucleotide ribosomal RNA is filed under the name uncultured bacterium. RNAcentral's name for it is "partial 16S ribosomal RNA". It matches the Rfam family "Bacterial small subunit ribosomal RNA", at positions 524 to 776 of the family's 1533-position model. The record is from RNAcentral.